GACGAACGCUGGCGGCGUGCUUAACACAUGCAAGUCGAACGAAAAGAGGGAAAGAGCUUGCUCUUUCCGGAAUUGAGUGGCAGACGGGUGAGUAACACGUAAACAACCUGCCUUCAGGAUGGGGACAACGGACGGAAACGACUGCUAAUACCGAAUAAGUUCCAAGAGCCGCAUGGCCCAUGGAAGAAAAGGUGGCCUCUACCUGUAAGCUAUCGCCUGAAGAGGGGUUUGCGUCUGGUUAGCUGGUUGGAGGGGUAACGGCCCACCAAGGCGACGAUCAGUAGCCGGUCUGAGAGGAUGAACGGCCACACUGGAACUGAGACACGGUCCAGACUCCUACGAGAGGCAGCAGUGGGGAAUCUUCCGCAAUGGGCGAAAGCCUGACGGAGCAACGCCGCGUGAGUGAUGACGGCCUUCGGGUUGUAAAACUCUGUGAUCCGGGACGAAAGGGCAGAGUGCGAAGAACAAACUGCAUUGACGGUAC
RNAcentral lists this ribosomal RNA (484 nucleotides) under Dialister invisus. RNAcentral's name for it is "bacterial SSU rRNA". It matches the Rfam family "Bacterial small subunit ribosomal RNA", at positions 28 to 478 of the family's 1533-position model. The record is from RNAcentral. Lineage: Bacteria; Bacillati; Bacillota; Negativicutes; Veillonellales; Veillonellaceae.